ACCGGGGAUUGCUUAGUACGGCGAGUGAAGCGGCAAAAGCUCAAAUUUGAAAUCUGGUACCUUCGGUGCCCGAGUUGUAAUUUGGAGAGGGCAACUUUGGGGCCGUUCCUUGUCUAUGUUCCUUGGAACAGGACGUCAUAGAGGGUGAGAAUCCCGUGUGGCGAGGAGUGCGGUUCUUUGUAAAGUGCCUUCGAAGAGUCGAGUUGUUUGGGAAUGCAGCUCUAAGUGGGUGGUAAAUUCCAUCUAAAGCUAAAUAUUGGCGAGAGACCGAUAGCGAACAAGUACAGUGAUGGAAAGAUGAAAAGAACUUUGAAAAGAGAGUGAAAAAGUACGUGAAAUUGUUGAAAGGGAAGGGCAUUUGAUCAGACAUGGUGUUUUGUGCCCUCUGCUCCUUGUGGGUAGGGGAAUCUCGCAUUUCACUGGGCCAGCAUCAGUUUUGGUGGCAGGAUAAAUCCAUAGGAAUGUAGCUUGCCUCGGUAAGUAUUAUAGCCUGUGGGAAUACUGCCAGCUGGGACUGAGGACUGCGACGUAAGUCAAGGAUGCUGGCAUAAUGGUUAUAUGCCGCCCGUCUUGAAACACGGACCAAA
Molecule: ribosomal RNA, 587 nt
Filed under: Saccharomyces cerevisiae (brewer's yeast)
Lineage: Eukaryota; Fungi; Ascomycota; Saccharomycetes; Saccharomycetales; Saccharomycetaceae
Description: partial large subunit ribosomal RNA
Rfam family: Eukaryotic large subunit ribosomal RNA
Source: RNAcentral